RNAcentral lists this ribosomal RNA (430 nucleotides) under uncultured bacterium. RNAcentral's name for it is "partial 16S ribosomal RNA". It matches the Rfam family "Bacterial small subunit ribosomal RNA", at positions 354 to 796 of the family's 1533-position model. The record is from RNAcentral.
GUGGGGAAUAUUGCACAAUGGGCGCAAGCCUGAUGCAGCAACGCCGCGUGAGGGACGACGGCCUUCGGGUUGUAAACCUCUUUUAGCAGGGAAGAAGCGAAAGUGACGGUACCUGCAGAAAAAGCACCGGCUAACUACGUGCCAGCAGCCGCGGUAAUACGUAGGGUGCAAGCGUUGUCCGGAAUUAUUGGGCGUAAAGAGCUCGUAGGCGGUUUGUCGCGUCUGCUGUGAAAACCCGAGGCUCAACCUGGGGCCUGCAGUGGGUACGGGCAGACUAGAGUGCGGUAGGGGAGAUUGGAAUUCCUGGUGUAGCGGUGGAAUGCGCAGAUAUCAGGAGGAACACCGAUGGCGAAGGCAGAUCUCUGGGCCGUAACUGACGCUGAGGAGCGAAAGCGUGGGGAGCGAACAGGAUUAGAAACCCGUGUAGUCC